ACCAACCCAGCACUUUGAUAGUGAGGCACUCCCCAGAGCAGGGAUUAUUAAUGGGUGUCCUGAAACAGUGUGUGUCUAUGUUUGAGAGCAGUGGGAAAUAUUUCUGAUGCUCUGUGGAUCUUACACAUAUGCUCUUAUAAAAUCAGUUCAGAUAAAUGUAAAGACUAAUAUAAAAGCAGCCUCCUUCCAGUCUACAAACACAGAGACUCUUAAGCAGUUUAAAAAGAAAAGCAGCACAAAACUGCUUGAAUAAAUAAUAAUAAAGCGAGUGCAUGGGAAUGGAAGAAGGGAUCUUGAAAUCCAGUGAAAUCUCCAGCUGAGGAUUUGAUGGCUCUGAAACUGCUGCAAAGCCUCGAGUGAUUGUGGCAAGCAAGAAAGAGGAAUGCUGUUUAUUCAGUGCUGGAAAACAGACUAUUUGCCAGACUGCAAAGAGUACCGAAAAGGUAUCGAGUCUCUGUUUGAAUUAACCACAAAAAUAACCUGCUGAAUGAAGAGCUUUUCCAUGGACCUCUGCUGCUCUCUAAUGGUGCCUUAAAGGAUUCUCAGCACAAAGUCUAUGUGUUCCUCCUGUAACCAAGUUUCGUAAAACUUUUAAUGCAAAACAAACAAAGGAAGCAUUCAUUAAGUCCUUCAGAUAUGUUACCUGAACAGAUAGCCCACAGGUCAGGUAGCUAUUGCUGUACCCAUGGCCAGGACAUUUGGGAUGUGGUGAGGAUGCUAAUAAAGGAGAGCUAAAA
Passer domesticus (house sparrow) is the source of this 737-nucleotide long non-coding RNA. RefSeq lists it as uncharacterized. The transcript is spliced from 3 exons. The record is from RefSeq and is a predicted model, not a curated record. Lineage: Eukaryota; Metazoa; Chordata; Aves; Passeriformes; Passeridae.